This 252-nucleotide ribosomal RNA is filed under the name uncultured microorganism. RNAcentral's name for it is "partial 16S ribosomal RNA". It matches the Rfam family "Bacterial small subunit ribosomal RNA", at positions 524 to 776 of the family's 1533-position model. The record is from RNAcentral.
UACGUAGGGUGCGAGCGUUAAUCGGAUUUACUGGGCGUAAAGCGAGCGCAGGUGGUUUAUUAAGUCUGGUGUAAAAGGCAGUGGCUCAACCAUUGUAUGCAUUGGAAACUGGUAGACUUGAGUGCAGGAGAGGAGAGUGGAAUUCCAUGUGUAGCGGUGAAAUGCGUAGAUAUAUGGAGGAACACCGGUGGCGAAAGCGGCUCUCUGGCCUGUAACUGACACUGAGGCUCGAAAGCGUGGGUAGCAAACAGG